GUCUACUUGUUACCUGAAGGGCGUGGUUAUAUUGGGGCCAGUGAAUCUGCCGUUUACUCACCUUGUUCGUAACAACGCUCACCUGCUCUCACUUUGUCUCUUUCCCAUUGCUCUCACACACAAAAACACGUCCCAGAGAGGAGAAACUACCAAGAGAGAAGAAUCAUGUCGGUGGAAGUCCACAUAGAAUAUUGUAGUGGAUGAGGGUACGAGUCUCGCUAUCAGGACCUAGCAUCUGCCAUCAAGCGGAACGUUCCUGAUGUGACGGUGACGGGAACCACGGGGCGGCGCUCCAGUUUCGAGGUAACAGUGAAUGGUAAACUGGCCUACUCUAAACUGGAGGCAGGAGGAUUCCCAGACACCAAGGAGAUGGUGGCGAUGGUGAAGGAGGUGAGCCGUGGAGGAAAGGUAGAGAAAGUGAAGAAGAAGGAUAAUAAGUGUUUUCUCCAAUAGAUGAGUGGUUAUUGAGAGAAGGAGAGUGUUUUUUUAAGAUCCUGGGUCCUGAACUGAUUCUAUUAAUGAUUGUUCACAAUGAAACUAGGGAUGUGAACAUGAUGAAGUCUACAGUCAUUUCAACUCUGUGAUCUGAGGGAAAUACUCUCAUCCUGUGUCUCUGUGUUACACUGUCAUGUCUUAUGUUAUUCCUUGUCUGUUUUUCUUUCCUUAUACAGACCAAGAUAUGACUUGCAUUUAGUUUUACAUUCUAGAAAUAUUGUACUCGAUGAAGACCUCUGCAGUUGUAUAGGCUGUACGUGUAUUUUUAAAUGAUCAAAUCUAUUCUAGGAAUCAAUUAGUAUUGAGUUUGUGUGUUGGGAGGGUGCUGUUGGACAUUUACAAUAAUGCUGUUGGACAUUUACAAUAAUGCUGUUGGACAUUUACAAUAAGGCUGUUGGACAUUUACAAUAAUGCUGUUGGACAUUUACUGGUGUUGUUGUGUUAUUAUUGGAUGUUGUGCCAGGCAAUCUUUCCCAUCUUCACUUUGCCUCUUUCACUUUCUUUCUUACCGGGUGUGAUGAUGCAAUAGAUAUACUGCCACGGCCUUUAUAGCGGUCAAGGGAUUUUAUUUGAUCUUAUCUGAUUUUGUGUAUAGGCUGAGACUGGAUUCUAUUCCCAAAAAUGUUAUUCCUCUGUGUGUUAUAUAAUUGUAGAGGUACAAAGUCUUUAGUAUUAGUUUUUAUAUGGCUGUAUAAAGAUGACAGUUUAUUAUCAAACUUGUGAUGGAGAUCACACUUCAGCCAAGAGGGGAAUUUAAUGCAGUUGAGAUGUGGGAAAGGGAAUUACCACUCUGCCAUCUGGAGUUUUACUACAUUUUUACCAAAACUGGAUUCCAUGUAACUUAGAGCUGAUUGAUUAUUCAUUAUAUCCACUCUAUUAGCCUCUGUCAAAUGCACUUUAAACUGUAAUACAUCUGUUCUGUGAUGUCCUCCAGCAUAUUGGAGAAUAUUCUUGAAUCUGACCCUUUCUACCCCUCUAUCUCUAUGGCCCCCAUCUAACCAUGUCCUUCAGGUAACUGGUGAACAGGUGGAUAGAGGGAGAGUCACGCAGCUUAUCUGUGACAGUGCCCACCUGCUCUCACAUCUCUUUUGCAUUGCUCUCUCACACACACACACACACACACACACACGAGAGAAGAAUUAUGUCUGUGGAAGUCCACAUAGAAUAUUGGGUGGUUAUUGUUUAACGUUGUACUACAUAUGUUAAUGUCUACUCUAAAAUGUUAGGAGAUAUGUUGUUAUACCAAAGAAAACAACAGUGAGACAGUGAACAAACUGAAUGUGUUGAUAUUGGCUCAGGUUAUUGAUUUAAAGAGAGAGUUUGCAGACAAAAGCAAAACGUUGACAUGAUUUUCCAGUUAGAGAAACUCAUUAUUUACAUCAUCAGUCUAACAUUUAAACUACCCUCUCCAUUUCUAUUGUCCAGUGUAAAGUUCUAGAUAUGACAUGCCAUGUGCAGCCUGUGUGUGUGUUUACGGUGUGUUUGUGUUGUGGUCUGCAGUAGUAUAUGAGGGUACGAGUCUAUCAGGACCUAGUAUCUGCCAUCAAGCGGAACGUUCCUGAUGUGACGGUGACGGGAACCACCGGGCGGCGCUUGAAGUUACCCUGUCAGAUAGUGACGUCACAGCUGUGCUUCAACCACUAUAUGAAGAAGUUUAAGGAAAACAUCAACUCAAAUUGCUCCUUUUGUAAUGACCACCCAGAAACAGUUGUGCAUCUUUUUUGGCAUUGUAUGCAUGUAAGAAAACUGUGGCAAGACAUCAGUAGGUUUAUAAUUGCACACAUUUAUGAAGAUUUUACACUAUUGUGGAGAGAUGUACUGUUUGGAUUCUUUACAUACAAUAGAAAUAAGCGGAAUCAUUUUUAUGUAAUUAAUUGUAUUAUUCUUUUGGCCAAAUUUCAUAUACACAAAUGUAAAUUUACAAACAGAAAACCACAUUUUCGUACCCUACAAAAAUAAAUUGAACUGUAUUUUAAGACGGUUAAAUGCUCUACUAACAAAAAGCUGUUAGAAUUGUAAGUAUAUGCAUGUCCCUUAAGGUCCUUGUGUAAUUGUAAUGUGAUAUUGUACCCCCUAGCCCCGCCCCUAGCUCGAUUGUCUAUUGUUUGUAAUCUAUGUUCCCUCAUGUGCUUUAUGUAUUGAUUUGUUGUUAAUAAAAAUAAAAUUAAAAAUAAAUAAAUAAAAUAAAAAGACGUUACAGAUCUCAUCGGACGUCAACUA
Long non-coding RNA from Oncorhynchus kisutch (coho salmon), 2715 nucleotides. RefSeq lists it as uncharacterized. NCBI's taxonomy places the organism in Eukaryota, Metazoa, Chordata, Actinopteri, Salmoniformes, Salmonidae. The transcript is spliced from 4 exons. The record is from RefSeq and is a predicted model, not a curated record.